Molecule: RNase P RNA, 213 nt
Filed under: Enterobacter cloacae
Lineage: Bacteria; Pseudomonadati; Pseudomonadota; Gammaproteobacteria; Enterobacterales; Enterobacteriaceae
Also listed under: 3 other names
Description: partial RNase P RNA component class A
Rfam family: Bacterial RNase P class A
About the family: Ribonuclease P (RNase P) is a ubiquitous endoribonuclease, found in archaea, bacteria and eukarya as well as chloroplasts and mitochondria. Its best characterised activity is the generation of mature 5'-ends of tRNAs by cleaving the 5'-leader elements of precursor-tRNAs. Cellular RNase Ps are ribonucleoproteins.
Source: RNAcentral
GAAGCUGACCAGACAGUCGCCGCUUCGUCGUCGUCCCUUUCGGGGGAGACGGGCGGAGGGGAGGAAAGUCCGGGCUCCAUAGGGCAGGGUGCCAGGUAACGCCUGGGGGGGAAACCCACGACCAGUGCAACAGAGAGCAAACCGCCGAUGGCCCGCGCAAGCGGGAUCAGGUAAGGGUGAAAGGGUGCGGUAAGAGCGCACCGCGCGGCUGGU